RNAcentral lists this unclassified non-coding RNA (197 nucleotides) under plant metagenome. Its description in RNAcentral is "partial contains small subunit ribosomal RNA, internal transcribed spacer 1, and 5.8S ribosomal RNA". The record is from RNAcentral.
UCUCCGUUGGUGAACCAGCGGAGGGAUCAUUACCGAGUUUACAACUCCCAAACCCCUGUGAACAUACCUAUCGUUGCCUCGGCGGUGCCCGCUCCGGCGGCCCGCCAGAGGACCCCCAAACUCUUGUUUUAUACAGUAUCUUCUGAGUAACACGAUAAAAUAAAUCAAAACUUUCAACAACGGAUCUCUUGGUUCUG